Molecule: ribosomal RNA, 253 nt
Filed under: uncultured bacterium
Lineage: Bacteria
Description: partial 16S ribosomal RNA
Rfam family: Bacterial small subunit ribosomal RNA
Source: RNAcentral
UACAGAGGUCCCAAGCGUUGUUCGGAUUCACUGGGCGUAAAGGGUGCGUAGGCGGUCAGAUAAGUCUGAUGUGAAAUCUUCGAGCUCAACUCGGAAACUGCAUCGGAAACUAUCUGGCUAGAGGAUUGGAGGGGAGACUGGAAUUCUCGGUGUAGCAGUGAAAUGCGUAGAUAUCGAGAGGAACACCAGUGGCGAAGGCGAGUCUCUGGACAAUUCCUGACGCUGAGGCACGAAAGCUAGGGGAGCAAACGGG